GACAAGCUGCCUCGGAGUCACCAAGG
This 26-nucleotide non-coding RNA is filed under the name Mus musculus (house mouse). The record is from RNAcentral. Lineage: Eukaryota; Metazoa; Chordata; Mammalia; Rodentia; Muridae.